AUUGAACGCUGGCGGCAGGCCUAACACAUGCAAGUCGAGCGGAUGAAGGGAGCUUGCUCCUGGAUUCAGCGGCGGACGGGUGAGUAAUGCCUAGGAAUCUGCCUGGUCGUGGGGGAUAACGUCCGGUAACGGGCGCUAAUACCGCAUACGUCCUUAGGUAGAAAGUGGGGGAUCUUCGGACCUCACGCUAUCAGAUGAGCCUAGGUCGGAUUAGCUAGUUGGUGGGGUAAAGGCCUACCAAGGCGACGAUCCGUAACUGGUCUGAGAGGAUGAUCAGUCACACUGGAACUGAGACACGGUCCAGACUCCUACGGGAGGCAGCAGUGGGGAAUAUUGGACAAUGGGCGAAAGCCUGAUCCAGCAAUGCCGCGUGUGUGAAGAAGGUCUUCGGAUUGUAAAGCACUUUAAGUUGGGAGGAAGGGAAGUAAGUUAAUACCUUGCUGUUUUGACGUUACCAACAGAAAAAGCACCGGCUAACUUCGUG
This 484-nucleotide ribosomal RNA is filed under the name uncultured bacterium. RNAcentral describes it as "partial 16S ribosomal RNA". It matches the Rfam family "Bacterial small subunit ribosomal RNA", at positions 30 to 507 of the family's 1533-position model. The record is from RNAcentral.